Molecule: long non-coding RNA, 6142 nt
Filed under: Macaca mulatta (Rhesus monkey)
Lineage: Eukaryota; Metazoa; Chordata; Mammalia; Primates; Cercopithecidae
Description: lncRNA (ENSMMUG00000058128.1)
Source: RNAcentral
UUUUUUUUUUUUUUUUUUUUUUUGAGACGGAGUCUUACUGUCGCCCAGGCUGGAGUGCAAUGGUGCAAUCUUGACUCACUGCAACCUCCACCUCCUAGGUUCAAACAAUUCUCCUCCCUCAGCCUCCUGAGUAGCUGCGAUUAUAGGCGCAUGUCACCACGCCUGGCUAAUUGUUGCAUUUUUAGUAGAGACUGGGUUUCACCAUGUUGGCCAGGCUGGUCUCGAACUCCUGACCUCAGGUGAUCCGCCCACCUCAGCCUCUCAAAGUGCUGGGAUUUCAGGUGUGAGCCAACAUGCCCAGCCACACUCCGACUCUUAUUUCCUAGAGUAUUCUGCCUCCAGGUACCAGACACACAGCUUGCUCCUUAAUUUCACUCAGGACUCUGCUCAAAUGUACAUCUCAUCACUCCAGAGAGGCUUUCCCUGCCCUCCCAAUCAAGCUCAGCCACACCCCAGCUCUUUACUUUCUGACCUGCCUGGUUUUACUUCAGAGCACUUCUGAUCACCAUUAGACACAGCGUGUUUGUCCUCUGACAACCAUCUGCCUCAGAUGUGACAUUAGGAUGUGACAUUACUUAGGGCAGGGGCUUCCUUCUGUAUCCUUAGGAUCUAGAAGAAUGCCCAGUACUUAGUAGAUGCUCAAAGAAUGAAUAAAUGAAUCUGAUGCCAAAGCCUUGGCUCCUCACUGUCCCUGGAAUAAUCCAGCAGAGGGUGAUCACUGCAUUAACAAAGCCCUUUUUGGAAAUCUGUGAUGCCGCCUUUGUCUGUAUCUGUGCCACUGUUCACCUUAAAUUUAUUUAUUUGUGAAUGGCCAGAAUUUCCUCCAGACUGAGUUCAUGGCUGCUGUAGCCCAUGACAUAGUCUUGAACAGCAUAGGUUAAUCUUUUGUUGACUGAACAGAAAAACAAAUCCCCAAACCAAUGGCAGAAGUUUAAUUUCUCUGCUGCCAAAUGCAGAAUAGGGGCCACCUUCCAGCCCACUGCCCUGAAAAAAGACUAAGCCCCAUUCCUAGGGAACUAAGACCUUGGAGUCAAGCUCAAGUGCUCUUUAGAAUUCCUUGGGUAUUGAGCUGUGCCAGAGAAAGCUCCUGGCAGAAUGUAAUUUGCCAACUAAGCCCAGAAAGCUGUGUGAACAACAGGCAAACUUAAAGCAGGCACUUAGUGAAAUUGCUGUUAUCUCAAAAAGAAAUAAUAGCAUGCCAGGCUGGCUUAAGGGGAAAAUACUCGAGUGUAAAAAGGGCUGCGCUUCACUCCCCUGGUCUCCAAAACAUACAAGUCUCCAAACACUCUCCCUCUAACUUGAGCCAUAGAGUCAAGACCCUCCCAGCCCCAUUCUCCAUCUCCAUUCCAUCACUCCAGGCCCAUCAGAUUCCCCAGUCACCAGGAACUCUCCUUGCAUUUAUUAAUGUUGUCCUCUUUGUCUGGCAUGCUUGUCCUUCCUUCCUCUGCCACCCAGGCUGGAGGGCAGCAGUGCAAUCGUAACUCACUGCACCCUUGACCUCCCAGGCUCAGGUGAGCCUCCAACCUCAACCUCCUGAGUAGCUGGGACCACAGGUUCAUGCCACUAUGCCUGACGAAUUAAAAAAAUUUGUUUGUGGCCGGACGCGAUGGCUCACACCUGUAACCCCAGCACUUUGGGAGGCCUAAGCAGGCAGAUCACAAGGUCAGGAGAUCGAGACCAUCCUGGCUAACACAGUGGAAUCCUGUCUUUACUAAAAAUAUAAAAAAUUAGCCGGGUGUGGUGGCACACACCUGUAGUCCCAGCUACUCAGGAGGCUGAGCCAGGACAAUCACUUGAACCUGGGAGGCAAAGGUUGAAGUAAGCCGAGAUCACGCCAGUGCACUCCAGCCUGGGCAACAGAGUGAGACUCCACCUCAAAAUAAAAUGGUGUGUGUGUGUAAAAAUUGUGUGUGUAUGUGUAUGUGUGUAGAUGAGGUCUCACUCUGUUGCCCAGGCUGGUCUUGAAUUCCUGGCCUCAAGUGAUCCUCCUGCCUCAGCCUCCCAAAGUGCUGAGAUUACAGGUGUGACCCACCGCACCUAGCCCCUACUCAUUUUUUGUUUUCUCCUUUGCAAAAUCUUCCUCUUCCUCUCCUUCCUCUGACAGAUAACUGUGUUCUGAGUUGUAGGUGUCAGUUACCAAUUCAGCCGGCCAACUCAGCUCAGUGUCAAGAUUAGAGAAGACAACAGAACAUGCCUGCAGGGAACACGGUCUAAUUGGGGAGACCAAUGCAAAGAAAUACACAAUUACAAAUUGGGGAAAGGGUUCAGAGGGAAACAAGACAUGGUGAGAGAUACCACACCGCCAGGUGGAGAUGGGGAAAACCACAUCAAAUGGCUAGGGAAGACUUCUCUGAGGAGGUGACAUUCAACUGGUUCCUGAUGGAUGAGUAGGAGUUAGCCAAGCAAAGAAUGGGGAGAAAAUGUUUUAGGCAGAGGGCAUGGCAUGUGUGAGGGUGUGAAGGUGCGGGGCAAGAAAGCACAUGGCAUAACCCAGAAACCAAAGGGAGGACUGUGCGACUUCGGCCUCAGAGGACUGGGCGGGCUGUGUGAGGACAGGCAGGCCUCCUAGGCAGCAAAUGCUCUGAAUUGCCAUCCUUGUGUUUCUGCCUCCCCUCUCCUCAGAAGGGCCGCGGUACAUCUACUUCCCUCCCUAUCUUCAGUGCAGGGCAAGACACCUGGUGCAUAGAGGGCACUCAACAAGUGCCUGUGGGCUGCACUGUCCCCAGAGAUGCAGUGAGCCAUCACUCCCUCUGUCCAUUCCUCCACCCCAACAGCAAGUCCCCAGUUGGCACGCCUAACUGAAGCACUCAGGGACUGGUUAACCACAAGACUAGUGAAAGAAACUGAGGAUGAAACAGGAGCAGCUGCAAGAGCUACAGUUACGUCCUUGACUAAUGCCACUGACAACCCAGUUGGCAGAUGUGACCACCACAUGGUCCUUGGAGACCAGAUUCUCAGGGUAAGCGUCAAUCAGAUGUAACUCUAGGAGGGCCUGCCAAAAUCACAGCCCCCAAGACUUAAAUUAUCAGUUUGAAGUUCAAAAUACAGUUUCCAAAAUUCAGUAGUUUGUUGAUUAAAAUUUUAAAAAUCCAAAAGAUAAAAACAAAGCUGAGUUGGUAGGAAUUUCCAAGUUGCCAGGUGCCCCAUCUGUCCUGUAUUUCCCCUGAUGAAUUAGCCUCUGGCCCAACCAAUAAUUCUGUCAUUUUCUUUUUCUUUUCUUUUUUUUUUUUAGAUGGAUGGAUGGCAUUUCGCUCUUGUUGCCCAGGCUGGAGUGCAAGUUCCAUGUGGGCAGGUUCCUGGUGUUACGUCUAUAUAUCUAGUGCCUAGAAUAGCUUGACACAGAGUAGGUACUCAAUACAAAUUACUAAAUGGUUAACAGUUUUUCUUUAGGAUUUUCUAAAGAUGGUAUGUCGAAUACUGACUUCUAGUUUCUUGGGACACAAAGUAUUCAUGGUAUUUUCCAAACACAGUGCAUUAUCACAGCAAUAACCACAUUUUUUUCAUGGCUGCUCUAUCCACAUACUGUACUUGCUCCUUUAAAUGUAUCGCUAAUCCUCAAAAUGGCCCUUCAAAGUGGGGAUCAUCACUCCGCUUUACAGACAAAGGCCCUAAAGUUCAGAGAGGUCAAUUAAAUUCCUCCCAGUCAUAUGGCUAGUAAGUGGUGGCAAGACCAGAAUUCAAACCCAGCUUGGAGUCCAGGGUCUGUGCUCCUUCCACCCAGUCCCACUUCUCAACAUACGGGCACAAGCCCCCAGGGUCACUCCAGCAGGCCUAUGAGCACGGGAAUCCAAAAGACAAUGUGCGGCCCAUUUUUUGUAUCUUCUUUUCCUGAUGGUAAACAACAUAAAAUACUUUUGUGUUAAAAAAGGCACAGACCAGCCUGGGCAACAUAGUGAGACCCCAUUUCUACAAAAAAAUAAAAAAUUAGCCAGGCAUAGUGCUGCACACCUAUAGUCCCAGCUGAGGUGGGAAGAUCACUUGAGCCUGUGAGGCUGAGGCUGCAGAGAGCCAUGAUCAUGCCACUGCACUCCAGCCUGGGCAACAGAGUGAUGCCCUGUCUGGAAAAAAAAAAAAAAGGCACAUAUAUUUUAAAGUAUGACAUAUAAAAGUAAAUUUAAAAUAAUUUUUAAAACAAAACACAAAAGUUAAAAGAAAUUUCAUGCUUGUUGCCCAGGUCAGUCUCAGGAACCUCUAUGGAAAAACAUGAAAAGCACCUGUCACUCUGUCCUUCUUCAUUUUAUGUGUCUUUUCCUUGUUGCCGUAUUAUUUAUUUAUUUAUUUUUAUUUAUUUAUUUUCAGAUGGAGUCUUGCUCUGUCGCCCAGCCUGAAGUGCAGUGGUGCAAUCUUGGCCCACUGCAAUCUCCGCCUCAAGCAAUUAUCCUGCCUCAGUCUCCCGAGUAGCUGGGAUGACAGGCGCACACCACCAUGUCCCACUCAUUUUUUGUAUUUUUAGUACAGACAGGGUUUCACCAUGUUGGCCAGGCUGGUCUCCAACUCCUGACGUCAAGUGAUCCACCAGGCUCAGACUCCCAAAGUGCUGGGAUUACAGGCGUGAGCCACCACACCCUGCCCCUUGUUGCUAUAUUAAAUAAUGCCAGCAUCCCCACUCAAUCUUCAUUUUCCCACUCCCACUCAAUUAAAAUGUCUAUUGAAAAUGGCAGGAUGUCAGCCACGUGCAUGUCAUUUUCAAAAGCCUUAGUCAUUUAUGAGGACACCUUUUUGUAGGUACAAUAAAUCUGAUUGAUUUUUAUUACACAUCUUAGUUUAGAAUCACUUUUACAUUCCUAGACAAAGAGAUGAUACAAAUAAAUAUCAAUUGUAAAACUUAGAGCCCCAAGUAUUGAUUGGCAUAUUCUUUGUCUAAAGGUAGCCAAAGAGAAGGUCGAGAUCAGUAAUAACUUCAAGGAGCCAUAAAGCCCACUGCUUCCUGCCGGCCCCAGGAUCACUCCUUCGUAAAUAACCCCAGAAGCAUUUCAUUCAGGCAACAAGGGCAGGCAGAAAGAUGACAGAUUUCUGAACAGCACAAAACAAAGCCUUGCGUGAUAGACAAUCGCCAGGCCCACUAUUCUUAGCCAGUUCCCUCAGAGCAUUUUUAGUAUGGCUUUUAGAGUAUAUUAACAGCCCCAUUUUCGUCCACUGAUGGGGUUCAGAUGGUCUGAGGUGUUGUCUCCAGUACGCCUCAACCUCAAGUGGGAAAUGUGAGGCAAAACUGAUAUCCACGUUAACAGGGAAUCGACACUUCUCAGAAACUUGGCAACGAUUCUACAUUCAGUGAGGGAGGACUUGUCAGAGUCAGACAGGAAAAGCAGAGAGCGGCCCACGCCUGAGCUGCAGCACUCUGGCGCCCUUGGUCAUGGAGGUGUGGGUGGAGCAAUUCAAGCAGCAUGCAGGCAUUAGACGGGAAAUAAUCCAGCGUUAGGUCAGUCUUAAGAAAGUGCUUCAUGCCUAUGAUUUGUGGCCUUGGGUUCUGAAUCCAGGGGUCUGAGAGACAUGUGACUUUAAAAUAUGAAGCCAGAUACAUUCUCCAGAUCAGAAUAAAAGGGGGUCUAUUGGGGGUUGCACACACAGUCUCAAACUCCUUCUCCUGAUGGCCAUCUUAGAUCCUGUUAGACUCGCUUUCUGGCUUUGCUAGCUGCUUCUGGCAUAAAGGCCCUUAGAUGGCUCAGAACAUUCUAGGUACGAUUAGAGACAUGAAAACCUGGUCCCUCAGUGGGCUUGGUAGGUCCUCUACAUAUUUGGCUCAAUGCAGAACCCAAAGCAGCAGCUUUCUGGUGGCAGCACAACAUUCUACAAUCUGCUCUAUUCAAACAUUUAUCGGAUCCAUUUUUAGAGAAGAAAAGCACCAGAGACUGCUUGGAAAGGGACAGCUUCAUUUCCAACUAAGUCUUCUUUUCUUUUGUUUCCACAGACCACCACAUAAACACAGCUGGGUACAAGACAGGCCUGUCAACUUGUCUGUCUUCUCUUAGAAAAGUUCUAUGUGUCACUUAACCACCCUUGGUCAGAAGAGUCACCUCGAGAUACCAGUAUUAACGUAUAGGGUUAUCUGCAGUUUUCUUUCUUUUUUUUUUUUUUUUUUUUUUGAGGCAGAGUCUCAGUGUUGCCCAGGUUGGAGUGCAGUGGUGUGAUCUCGACUCACUGC